CGAGACGUAGCUAUAACUUAAAGUAUUCAGCUUACACCUGAAAGAUAUCUACUACACUAGAUCGUCUCGA
Molecule: transfer RNA, 70 nt
Filed under: Chamaepetes goudotii
Lineage: Eukaryota; Metazoa; Chordata; Aves; Galliformes; Cracidae
Description: tRNA-Val
Source: RNAcentral